AUUGAACGCUAGCGGGAUGCUUUACACAUGCAAGUCGAACGAGUGGCGGACGGGUGAGUAAUAUCUCGGAACGUGCCCAGUAGAGGGGGAUAACUACUGGCAAGAGUGGCUAAUACCGCAUACUAUUGGAGCGGCCGAUAUCGGAUUAGCUAGUUGGUGGGGUAAAGGCUAACCAAGGCAACGAUCCGUUGCGGGUUUGAGAGGAGGACGAGACACAGUUGGAAUGAGAAACGGCCCAGAGUCCUACGUGAGGCAUCAGUGGGAAAGUUUGGACAAGGGGGGAAACACUGAUCCAGCCAUCCCGCGUGUAGGAGAGGACCUUCGGGGUGUAAAGUACGAUUUGCAGAGAAGCGGUACCUGCAGAAUAAGCACCGGCUAACUACGGGCCAGCCGCCGCGGUAAUAC
RNAcentral lists this ribosomal RNA (405 nucleotides) under uncultured bacterium. RNAcentral describes it as "partial 16S ribosomal RNA". It matches the Rfam family "Bacterial small subunit ribosomal RNA", at positions 30 to 526 of the family's 1533-position model. The record is from RNAcentral.